UUUGAUGGCGACCGGCGCACGGGUGAGUAACACGUAUCCAACCUGCCGAUGACUCGGGGAUAGCCUUUCGAAAGAAAGAUUAAUACCCGAUGGCAUAAUUCCUCCGCAUGGUAGAACUAUUAAAGAAUUUCGGUCAUCGAUGGGGAUGCGUUCCAUUAGGUUGUUGGCGGGGUAACGGCCCACCAAGCCUUCGAUGGAUAGGGGUUCUGAGAGGAAGGUCCCCCACAUUGGAACUGAGACACGGUCCAA
RNAcentral lists this ribosomal RNA (249 nucleotides) under uncultured bacterium. RNAcentral describes it as "partial 16S ribosomal RNA". It matches the Rfam family "Bacterial small subunit ribosomal RNA", at positions 84 to 334 of the family's 1533-position model. The record is from RNAcentral.